RNAcentral lists this ribosomal RNA (449 nucleotides) under uncultured bacterium. RNAcentral's name for it is "partial 16S ribosomal RNA". It matches the Rfam family "Bacterial small subunit ribosomal RNA", at positions 29 to 523 of the family's 1533-position model. The record is from RNAcentral.
AACGACCGCUGGCGGCAUGCCUAACACAUGCAAGUCGAACGAAGGCUUCGGCCUUAGUGGCGCACGGGGGCGUAACGCGUGGGAAUCUGCCCCUCGAUUCGGAAUAACAGUUAGAAAUGACUGCUAAUACCGGAUGAUGACUUCGGUCCAAAGAUUUAUCGCCGAGGGAUGAGCCCGCGUAAGAUUAGGUAGUUGGUGGGGUAAAGGCCUACCAAGCCGACGAUCUUUAGCUGGUCUGAGAGGAUGAUCAGCCACACUGGGACUGAGACACGGCCCAGACUCCUACGGGAGGCAGCAGUGGGGAAUAUUGGACAAUGGGCGAAAGCCUGAUCCAGCAAUGCCGCGUGAGUGAUGAAGGCCUUAGGGUUGUAAAGCUCUUUUACCAGGGAUGAUAAUGACAGUACCUGGAGAAUAAGCUCCGGCUAACUCCGUGCCAGCCGCCGCCGUAA